This is a small nucleolar RNA of Ornithorhynchus anatinus (platypus), 138 nucleotides long. NCBI's taxonomy places the organism in Eukaryota, Metazoa, Chordata, Mammalia, Monotremata, Ornithorhynchidae. The record is from RefSeq and is a predicted model, not a curated record.
CUCCUCUCAGGGUCACACCUCGAGAGUUUCCAUUAUGCUACUAGUCUUGACUAGGGGAGGGCAAGUCAAGCAGAGGCAUAUCCAUUCCAUUUCUAGCUUGGGCAGUGGCUAGCGAGUGGAAGGCAAUCUGCUACAAGU